UGGAAAAGAGUGAAAGAAUAAAUAAAUUUAAAAAACAACUUAAUUAUCUACAUCCUUCGGCCUUCUCCUCCAUAUACGGCAUUCAAAGCCUUGUAACUUCCAGCUCAUGGUAUGAAGGCAAUCCAGUAUGGUAUGAAGGUUUCUUUGUUUAGAAGCGGUAAAUUGGUAGUGGUAUUUGAGUUUCCUAUGAGAUAUGUCUUCUUUUUUUUUUUUUUAUAAUCAAAAUAUGUUUUGUUUAGCCCAACAUGGUUAGUUAAAUGGUACUCACUUUAUAAGAGUUCGCUCUUUAGGCAUCUCAAAGAAAUACUUUGAACGGUAGUUAGCUAUCGAUAAAGGUAUUUUUAGUGGUUUAAGGUGUUUGCAAGCAAUUGCUAAAUGUUUAAAGAGCAAUCUUCAUUCCAUAUUUGUGAAUCAAACAUUUUUGUUAGAUUUGGACCUUGAUCUUGGUUAAUAAAUGAAAAUCGUUGAUUGUAUCACCCCCUCAAACAAAUUUUUUUAAACCCCUACUAUAUGGUAAGGUAUACCGCAAAAUGCAAAGGUAUUUUUGUCUUUUGAACAGUGUGGUUUGGUACAUUAAGAGUAUGUUUGGGAGUUGAAUAUUUUAGUAAAAAGCUUUGGAAGGCCUGGUCUAUAUAUAUAUUUAUGAUAAAUGUAAGAAACACAAUCUUUUUAACUUUAUUUUUAACAUUCACUCUUUUUAUUAGGUCAUGAUAUGUCUUUCUAAUAAAUUUUCAAAGUACCUAACCUUAUUGUAUAUUGCCCUCUUUUAUUGGAUGAUGAUCCGCCUUUCUAAUAAAUUUUCAAUGUACCUAACAUUAUUCUAUAGUGCCCUCUUUUGGAGUCCGACAUGAGUUUCCAACUUACUCCCCAAACUUCUAAAUGUACUCCUUAAGGUCUCAAGUAUAAUUAUCUCCAGGUCCGACCCUAGCACAUAAGUUAGAAGUGCCUAGGCCCAUGCCGGUAGGAGCCUAACAUUUUUUUUAAGGUGCAGACUGUAUAUAGAAAUAUUUUGUUUUUGGGAGCUAUAUAUAGCAAAAUUCUCUAAAAAAAAGCUCAAAUAUUGACAUGAUGAAGGGCUGGGCUGAAAUCUGUUAAUGUUUUUUGCCCUUUUGGCGCAAUUUGCUAUAUAUAUCCCAUGUAUCACAAACAUUUCUAUAUACACCCUCCUAUAAUAAAAUUGGUUGUUCUUAAUAAUGUGCUCAAAAAUUUAUCAUCGAAGAAAUUUGUGAUAUUUUUUUGGGCCCUUUGUUCCUAAUAAUGUGUCUCACUAAUAUUAAAAAUAUCGAUGAUAUUUAUUAUCCAAGAAAUUGGGAUAUUUUUCAUAACAAAACAAAUUCUAUUUUAGUUGAAAAUGGGCCUACCAGAGAAAUUAACCUUAAUCUUGUCUUUCAAAGAUUCCAAAAAAAUAAAUUAUAUCAAUACAGUAAUGUCAACUUUCUUGACUUUAUAGAAAGGAUUGCAGAAUUGAAUUUGAUAAUGCAAGAUCAUGUGAAACACAUUUAUCAUUAUGAAACCAAUGUGAGAUCACUACAAAAAAAGAAAAAAAAAUUGAUGUGAGACGUAUCAUCUUUUUUGUUUUGUUGUUCUUUUUAUCAAUAGCUGCAUUUGACAUACGAUGUUUUGGGUGCUAAAAUUUCAGUCUACUUCGCAUGUGUUAUUGUUCUCUACNCAAACAUUUUUGUUAGAUUUGGACCUUGAUCUUGGUUAAUAAAUGAAAAUCGUUGAUUGUAUCACCCCCUCAAACAAAUUUUUUUAAACCCCUACUAUAUGGUAAGGUAUACCGCAAAAUGCAAAGGUAUUUUUGUCUUUUGAACAGUGUAGUUUGGUACAUUAAGAGUAUGUUUGGGAGUUGAAUAUUUUAGUAAAAAGCUUUGGAAGGCCUGGUCUAUAUAUAUAUUUAUGAUAAAUGUAAGAAACACGAUCUUUUUAACUUUAUUUUUAACAUUCGCUCUUUUUAUUAGGUCAUGAUAUGUCUUUCUAAUAAAUUUUCAAAGUACCUAACCUUAUUGUAUAUUGCCCUCUUUUAUUGGAUGAUGAUCAGCCUUUCUAAUAAAUUUUCAAUGUACCUAACAUUAUUCUACAGUGCCCUCUUUUAGAGUCCGACAUGAGUUUCCAACUUACUCCCCAAACUUCUAAAUGUACUCCUUAAGGUCUCAAGUAUAAUUAUCUCCAGGUCCGACCCUAGCACAUAAGUUAGAAGUGCCUAGGCCCAUGCCGGUAGGAGCCUAACAUUUUUUUUAAGGUGCAGACUGUAUAUAGAAAUAUUUGAUUUUUGGGAGCUAUAUAUAGCAAAAUUCUCUAAAAAAAAGCUCAAAUAUUGACAUGAUGAAGGGCUGGGCUGAAAUCUGUUAAUGUUUUUUGCCCUUUUGGCGCAAUUUGCUAUAUAUAUCCCAUGUAUCACAAACAUUUCUAUAUACACCCUCCUAUAAUAAAAUUGGUUGUUCUUAAUAAUGUGCUCAAAAAUUUAUCAUCGAAGAAAUUUGUGAUAUUUUUUUGGGCCCUUUGUUCCUAAUAAUGUGUCUCACUAAUAUUAAAAAUAUCGAUGAUAUUUAUUAUCCAAGAAAUUGGGAUAUUUUUCAUAACAAAACAAAUUCUAUUUUAGUUGAAAAUGGGCCUACCAGAGAAAUUAACCUUAAUCUUGUCUUUCAAAGAUUCCAAAAAAAUAAAUUAUAUCAAUACAGUAAUGUCAACUUUCUUGACUUUAUAGAAAGGAUUGCAGAAUUGAAUUUGAUAAUGCAAGAUCAUGUGAAACACAUUUAUCAUUAUGAAACCAAUGUGAGAUCACUACAAAAAAAGAAAAAAAAAUUGAUGUGAGACGUAUCAUCUUUUUUGUUUUGUUGUUCUUUUUAUCAAUAGCUGCAUUUGACAUACGAUGUUUUGGGUGCUAAAAUUUCAGUCUACUUCGCAUGUGUUAUUGUUCUCUACUUCUACGGUAUUUUAUUUUGUUUCGGUGUCUACAAUGUAUUUGAUUUAUUUUUCAGAUGUUGUCUAAAAGAACAUAUAUUUGGUAGUGAAAAGCGAAAUAAAAAAAAAUGAAAUGAAUAGCUAAUAAAAACACAAUAAUGAAUUAUUAUUUUUUUUUUUUUAUGAUGUAUCAUGUAAGGGAUCUUUUUCUCAUACUAUUCGUAAAGCUAGUAAAACUAUAGAAACAGCCUGAUUAUCUCAAGUGUCCGACAUGGGUUUUCAUCUUUCGAACAGUUGUUCCUUCAAAAAAAAAUUCUUUCGAACAGUUGUUUCCUUCAAAAAAUCUUUUGAACAGUUGUUAGGUACACUAGCAGUAUGUUUGGAAGUUCAAUAUUUUCGAAAAAGUUUUGGAAGACCAUAUAUAUAUAUAUAUAUGCUAACUAAUACACAUCCAUCCAUAAAAUAAAAGUGUGCAUUAGCAUCAUAAACCUUUUUGUUUUGGACAAAAAAAACAUUAUUUUUGUUUGAAAGUAUGUCCCUUGAUGUCAUUUUGCAUUUCUCACUGUGUGUUUUUGUUUAUGAACAUCUUUACCUCUUGCCUUUUUUCUUGACCCAUUAUGUCACUUUAAGAAAAGAUUCACGAUAGGGGAAAGACUUUCCGUUCUAGGAAAUUAUUUAUCCUUCAAUUAAUUUCUUACUUUCUUACUUGGUUUUUUCUAAAUUACCUUUGAAUGGUGUGUAAUUUACCCACCAACCAAUAAAAAUGAGCAAUUUAUUUGUGGGGUCAAGAUAGUUCAUGAAUAUGUGCUUAUGUGGCUAAUGUGUAUUGGUUGGGGUAAAUUACCCAUCAUUCUUUCAUGGAUAGCCUAGUUGCCACCUCUUUUUCGUGAUUUGACUGCAUUAUUUCCUAAAUAAUUGCAGCCAAAAUAUUUCCUAAAUGAUAUUGCUGCCAAAAUAAUGAUAAUUGUUUGUGGAAAAAGAUGAAACAACAAUGGAGUAAUUUUAUGAGAGAUAUUCUUGCUAUCUUAAAAUUUAUAAACUUGAUGAACAAUCAUGGACUAAAUUAUAAAUUGCAUGGAAAUAUAGUUCAAAACCUUUUGUUUUUAUGACAAUUGAAGCACUUCAAUCAUAGUAACUUAUGAUUUUGUUACUUUAGUUUUAGGAACACUUUCUCUAACACUCAUCUCUUUACAUUUUGGGUAUAUUUAGAUAAUAAAAGGAAAGAAAGUUAGAGGAAAGAAGGUUAAAGGAAAGAAAGUAAGAAGAAAGUGAGUAGAAAGUGAGAUGAUUUGUUGCUUGUUUGGUUAUAGUGAAAGUAAGGGAGGAAAGAAAGAAAUGAAUUUAUUAAAUGACAUAAAUAGCCUUAUGUUAUUGUGUUAUUUAAAUGAUUUUCAAUAAAAAUACAUUUAAAUAAUUUUGAUAUAAACACUAUUAAAAUUGAUCACAAAAAAAAAUGACUAUAUGAGUUCUAAUUUGAGCAUGCUAAGAAAUGUGUAUAAAUAUUGAAAAUAAUAAAAUAUUCUAUGAGAGUAUGGUUCAAAAGAAGGAAAAAAUUGAAAUAUGUGUUGUAAAAAUAUACAAGAUCAGAGGGUAUUUUGGUAAAUGCAACAGAAAUAAUGACUUUCUUUCCACUUUCUGAUCUGUUUAGUGCAGAAACAAUUCUGAUGUGGGACCCGCAAAAAACUUUCUUUACUUAGCUUUAUGAAGGUGUACCAAACAGUAGAAAGAGCAUCAUUCCACUCUCUUUCCAUUCCACUCCUCUUUCUUUCGUUGGAACCAAACAUAUGUGAGACUCAAAUAUCAUUUCUCAAAACUUAAAUCCACACCUAAUCAAAACAGGAUUUCCUGUCAAAGUCGAAACGGGUUUGAAUGGGUUCGGGUGGGCACUCGCUGUAUUGACUUUCUUUUGAGUGAAUAAUGAAUAUUGCCUUGGCUACUUCUAAUGAAACAGAGGAGGUUAGAUAAGGAAAGACUUUGCGCAUCCGGUGUUCAAGGGUUGAGAUUCUCUCAAUUUCACAAAACAAAUGGUAAUGUCUGUUAUUAUAAUUUUGAAAUAAAAAAAAUUGGUUUAUUCAAUAUCACUCUUUUAAUCGAGUAAAUAGAGAGAAUCUUAAUCCCUCAAAUGUAAAUGGUUUAAUAGCAAUUUUCGCCCCCUAAUUUUUUACGAAGUUUCUCUCUAAAAAACCAAUUACAAAACCGCCCUUUAAGUUUUGCAACUGUUUCAGUUUUGACCUCUCAAAGUCAAUUUUUGGUUAAAAAAAAUAAAAAAGAUAACACGUGACACCUCACUUUGGGUGUCACGUCAGUGUAGACCGGGUUAAAAUUGGUUUUGGGGGCCAAAACUGUCAUAGAUGCAAAACUUAAGGGGCGUUUUGUAGUUUUUUUUCUUAGAGGCCCAAAAUCGCAACUUUGAAAAAAUUAGGGGGCUAAAACUGUUAUUAAGCCAAUGUAAAAAGUAAAAAUGUGAUAUUAAAUGAACAAAAAAAAAAGUAUACACCCUAAAAUAUUUAAAGCUUAAGAAAUUGGGAGAGAAAAUGAAGACAUCUUAACUCCUAAAAAACAUAACAGCUCUUGUAAAUAGAGCUGUCAAAACGGGCGGCCCGGCCCGUUUAGGCCCGGCCCGAUCGGGCCAAGGGCUUUUAAGGGCCGGGCUAAAAAGCCCGAUUUGAAUAUGGGCUGCAAAAAUAGAGCCCGAGCCCGGCCCUAUACGGGCUCCCGGGCUAACGGGCCAGCCCUGCCCCGUAUUUUUUUCUUCCCUUUUUCAUUCUUUUAAGUACUGAACAUACAUAAAUAUGCCGGGCUAACGGGCCAGCCCGGGCCCGUAUCUGUUUUUUAAGGUAAUUUGAAUACAGGAUAAAUUUUCAAAAUCAGUUGCUCUUUAUUUAACAUGGAAAAUAGCAUUGUAGUCAUCUUUUAAAAGAAUAAGUUGCAAGUAACUUUAAAAAUAAAUUCAGUAGCAUAUUUGAUGUAUAAGAUAUGAGUAAUGAACUAUGUUUACAACUUCUAUCAGAAGUUCAACCUUUCCAAUUGGUUAUCCAAGAACAAUCUCUGUAGUAGUAAUGACAGUUAAUUAGUCUAAAGAAUGCUAUAGGAAAAGUUAAUAGCUAAUUGUUCUUGUCAAUAUGAUGAAACAGAACCCUUUCUUUUGCAUGUUAGUAUUUUGACGUUUUACUUCACUUCCAAAGGCUUAGGGGUACCACAAAAACUAAACCACUGAGGCAGAACAUGGUGACAUCAAGUAGCAUAAUAGUAUAAAAUAUGUCAGUUUCCUAGAAAGAGUACUUGCUUUGUUUGGGCUAUGCAACUUAUGGAGGAAUCCAGUUUAGUAGUAAGCUUCACGAGAAGUAAAUUCACUGUGAGUCAGCCAAUCAGGCUGCAUCUUCAGCUCCAGUAAAUUCACGAGAAGUAAACUUUUUUUGCGGGCUGCCCGUGGCCCGAACGGACUCCGGGCUUUUUCGAGCCGGGCUAAAAAGCUCUUGAAAAAUUCGGGCUGUAAUUAUUAGGCCCAAGCCCUACGUUUUAUUCGGGCUUUCGGGCCGGCCCGUUUUGACAGCUCUACUUGUAAAAGACACAAACCUACAAGAAAAGAUGUUUAGUGCAUAUUUAUACUCACAUUGAAUUUGAACAAAAUCCAGAGUGCUGUCGUUUAGUUUAAGCUCUACAGAGUCAUAAUUUAAUCAAACUCAACAUGAAUUCAAGUAAUUUUUCUUUAUGUAAUGGAGUAUUUUCUUUUCAUCUAGACUAUUCAAAGGGAAGUGUAGGUCUGUGUUAUCAUCAUCGAUCAAAUGCUGUUUUUGGAACGGAUAAAAGAAUUAAGCCUCUGCAACCUCAAUUGCUUCUUAAACAUGUUUAUAAAAUCAUCAGCUUUUGCAUCAUCCGCUUCAUCUUCUUCUUUACUCGUCGUUGAUUCACUUCUCGCCAUUGAACACUCUUUCUCGCUCGCUGAUUUCUUCAUCAUCGGUUUGCUAUUCUCCUCAUCAUCAGAAUCACAAUCGUGGAUCGGAUCCGACUUGACCAGUUCUAUAGGUGGGGUUUUGGGUUCUGUUUGUGCUGGUUCGUGUUUGUUGAGAUUGAAAGACAAGACUCGCUGUAACAGUGAAGGUUUUAGACUUGGAGCAAGUUGGGGCUGAGUAGACUCUGGCUCAGGUUGUGUAACAAAUGUUUGCUCGUUAUGGUGGUGGUUGCAGUGACUGAGAUUGUGUGUUUGAUGGGUUUUGGGUGCAGUUACUGCAGCGAAGCGAGAAACGAGAGCAAUGGUACCAAUGACAAGGUUAACAAAGAUGAAAAGAGGAGAGGGUGUGAACCACAUGAAUGUAGCUAUGAAAUUAUUACUUGCUGCUAUGGUGUCAGUCAUCUUGUAGUUGAGGUUGUUGGUAGUUUGGUGAGAGAUAUGAAAGCUUACUUAUAACACUGUCAAUGAACACUGUAACAUGGGAGAAAUAUCACGUUAUCACGUCUCUUCAUCAGAACAAAAUAUCUUGACCCACUUGUUGGUGUACUGUAUAGUUCUGUCGACAUACAACAAUACAGGUAAAGAGAAUAUUACUCCCCAAUCCCUAUUAUGUAUCACACUACUUUGUACACAUAUUUCUUCAUCUAUCAUAUUUGGACAACAAAUUUAAAAUAAUUUUUGAAUAAAUUUCUCUUUGUCCCUAAAUUGUUUAAAAUGUCGAUACAAAUAUCAUUAUUCUAUCUUUUACUAUCAACAUAUAAAGAUAAACGGAAUCGUGCAAAGACGACAAAAUUACAAAAACAAACGAAAUAAUAUUGAAAAUACGUGGAAAUCAUUUAUUUAACAAAAAAAAAAAAAACAAUUUGGAUGGAUGAUUUAGGGUCAAUUUUGACCCAAAAUCAUCCCUAUGCAAUAGAUCAAAAAGAAAAAAAAAAUGGUGACGGUUGGAGGUUCGAGAAGGAGGGACGUGUAUCAUUCUUGAUAGCAUAUACCUAAACCCGUCUGAUGAUAGAAGAUAUUUUCUUUUUUCCGAAAGAAUAGAGGACAUAUUUCUAUAAGCUAUCUUUAUCAAGUGGUAAACAUAUUCCUAGAAGACUUAUGUUUGUUGAUGUGUGUUUCUGGACAAUGAUUUAUCAGCAAGUGGCUCGGGUAAAGGGUGUCGUAGAUCUUGAGGUCGGUGAUGAAUACUAACCGGACAUUUUUUUUUAUUUUAGGCAUAUUAACCGACAUUUUUUUUUUUUUUACUAACCGGACAUCUUGUAUGUAACUAUUCUAAACAGACUUGCAGAAUAAUGGAAACAUUUAUUCAUAUUUUUUAUUGUAUUUUAUUUGCUAAGUUGGUGCACACAUCACGUAUUUUAUCAGGACCUCCUUGCUUAAUUACUAAGUUGGGCAUUUUAUUGUAUUAGUUUUUAUGUUGUUUUUAAUUUACGUUUGAAAAUAUAUAUCAUAUUGUUAUGGAAAAUUUUGUAAAAAAAUAAAUGUUCAACUAAAGCAUAGUGAAUUUUUAAAUUUUAUAUAAUUUAAGUGUAGAUUUAGUGAAUUUAAGUGUAGAUUUAGAUUUAAAUUUAAAAAAUAAUUGUGUAGUUAAAGAACUUUGUCCAGAAAAAAGUCUGACAAUUAAUGGUGGUUAACUAUAUAGAGUUACUUUUGAUAGAAGAGAUAACAAAUCUUGAUAUUAUACAUAAACGAAUCAUCUUCAUUUUUCAAGAGGGCUUCAUUUAGGUAUUUAGAGAGAAAGACAUGAAGAGAUUAAUUUAAAAAAAUAAUAAUAAAAUGAUAAAAUAAUAUUAUCUACUUUCCGUGUCUUUAUUCUCUAAAUAAAGUCUUGUCUUUAUUUUCUUUGAAAAAUGAAGGGCAUUGCCACCAUAUAAGAUGGUAUGAAGAGUGUGGAAAAGAUCAAACCGAGUGAAUGUGUGAACGAGACUUUGAGGGGGCCUAUUAGAAAGAGUGGGGAAAGGACUAUAAUAUAUGGAUCCAACUGAAAACAAUGAUCGCAAAUUGACUACACCUUGCCUGUCUUAAUACUCCACAUACAUAUGUAGGAUAAAUGUAAUGUUUGAGAUAAUGGUUUAUGUCACAUUUAUUCUUCUUUUUGUUUUUCUGACUAGGUUUGGUUUUUUUGUCUAUGUGUGAUGCAUGUGUGUUUUAAAGUUUUAUUAUUUUUUUCUGCUUGUAUAACAAAAAAAAAAGGAUAUUAUUUGAUUUUGUUGUUGUAUUUUAAUUUUGAUUUUGUACUUUUUUUUUUUGAAGGAAUUUUUGAUUUUGUACUUGUAUGUUGCAACUCAGCGUACUCUUUAUAUUGUUGAACAUAAAACUAUUAAUGAAGUUAACAUUGUAUAAAUUGCUAUCUGUAGUAAACUACAAAGAAUAAUCUGCGGUAAUUAUUGUGCUAUAUUUCCAGACACGGUGCAACAAUUAUGUGUCCAGUAUUAUUUUUAAGCAAUAAACUUAUAACAUUUCAUUAUAAAUCAAAUCAUAGAUAUAUGUCGGUACAUCAUUAAAAUUUUGGAAGCUAAGGAAGUGGCUGCCUUUGCCAAUUCAUAGGUAUUGUGAAUUCGGACUCAAAACUCACACCAAUACAAACUAUGAUGUGUGAAGCAAAGGAAAGUGGUAACCAAUAUCAAAGUAAAGACAAGCAAUCAUCAAUAAUAACAACACAUAGAUCUAAUCUAGUAAUCAAAGUGAAAAGCUCAAAACCACAAGCAAAAGAUAAAGAGAGAAGAGAAACAAACACACCAAAGAUUGUUGACCCAGUUCGGUCCAACUUGACCUAAUCUCGGGGAGAGAUUGAUCUCUCCAAUCCACUAUCAAAAAGUUAUUACAAAGUGAUACAAAUGGGUUACAAGAUAUUAGCUUCAACAAGCUCACAAAGAACAAACCUAAUUUCUACCCAUUUUCCCAACCUCACAAAUGAACAAGACACUCAAUGAUUUUCACUCACCCAAGGUGUUUACAAAUGUUUCCCAACCCAAGAGAACCCUAAUCAAAGACCCUCAACCCUAAAAUUACCUCCUUUGAUUACCCUAGUUUCUCUCUCUUGAAGCUCCACUCAAAAAUGAAGAAUGAAGCCUUAAAUAGUGUUCAGGAAUACGCAGCAUCGUGCCACAUUUCGAGCCCAUCGUGCCACGAUGGAGCAGGUGAUAGUACAGUACUAUACCUUAUCUGUCUGCAUCGUGCCUCGAUUUUUUCAAUGGCAACCCAAAACCUGAACCAUUCAAUCGUGCCACGUUGCCCUGCAAACGUGCCACGAUUGUUUUAGACUUCAACAUCAAUUUUGAGACACAUUUCAACAAUAGGCAACCUUAUUCGUUUGCCUUCUAAUAAACUCUACAUGAGAGUUGGCUAAAUUUAAGAAGCAAUACUGAAUAUUACUAUCCACAAUGAUUCCAAACUCAAUAAUAUCUUCAUUGCUUCGGUUGAAAUAAUCUGCUACACGCUUCGAAUCUACCUCAAAAUAUAGUCCAGUAGUACUACUAAGUACUAACCCCACUAAAAAAAAGUCAUUAUUCUCUUUCUCUCUGAUACCACGCGUUCCAUCACCAUCACUCCAUCAGACUUUCCUUUUUUUCUUCCCCGAUUUCAUUUCCUUUUCCUCUUAUGUUGUCUUGUUUUAGGCCUAUUAGAAUUGAGUCCUCUUGUUUUUGGCGUUAGGUGGGUGUCUUUUUGGGAAGGUGGUUUGAGGUUCCUCAUGCAUACGGUAGUGAUUUUCACCUUUGGAUGUAUAACAUAUAUACGGCACCUUGUAUUUAUCUUUUAAAAAAUUUAAAUAGAACAUUGUUCUUUUAAAAAAAUACGUUUUUAUUUUAUUACAGACCUCUUUUCACCUACAGAGCCGAGCCUCCGAAUUCGUAGUAACAGUCCUUCAUCUACCUAGCAUAUUUUAUUUAACGCAAUGGUUGGCCAUCAAAAUGUUGGGGAUGAUGUUAUUUUUCGGGUCCUCAAUAACCUUUGAUGAUUAUUUGGUAGUCACAAAUUGGAUUUGGAGUCCCAAUUUUGUGUUCUCAAAUGCUCAAGUGGAUUAUUCAUUAGUGUGGAUUGAUAUUACCAAGCUUGAAUAUAGUCUAUUAUGACUAUUAACAGAGGCUUCUUGUUGAUUGUGCCAUUUGCGCUGAAGUAAGCAUGAACAUGUGCAUCUUUGAUAUCUUUCUCGACCAACAAAGGACAGUCACCUGAUAGUGAUUGGGGGAGAGAGAUAGUUUUUUUUUUUUUUUUUUUUGAAGAAGGGAAAGAGAUAGAGUUGAUAGGUUAGAUUUGGUGUCCAGACGAUAAAUUUUUUGAAAAUUGCUCUUGACAAUUGCAACACCCAUGUCGGCGGAGGAAGUAUUUUCGAUAGAUGGUAUUGACGUGCACGGUUUGGAACGGCGACAACAUCAAUGGAUAGUAGCAUUUCUUCCUUGCCCAGAUCAUGUUUAAUUUCAUGUUUGAAGUUCUUCGGCAGCUAACGACUGAGGUUUUUCUCGACAGUUAACUGCAGCCGGUUCGAGUAAACUUCGAUAGUUAACUGUUGAGGGGCAUUUGAGUAAUUUACUCGUGUUUCUCAGCCAAAUCAAAUAUGUCAACAUCAAUUUUCAAAUUUUUUUGAUUGGGGGUUUAGUUUAAUCUCACGUCGGAAUUUAAUUUGUCAAUUGAGCCAACAUUUUUGUUUUAUUUUUUUUGCACUCGAUUUCAAAGUCAUCUUUGGCUAGUACACUCUACCUACGUCAAAAAAGAUUCGGUAAAUUUUCUGUUGUUCUUCCUUUUUAAUGACAUUUUCGUUAAAAUCAAAUGACAAGUCAAAAUCAAAUGUGACACUAAAUCUCAUCUAUUUUUUUAGGAUGUGUUUGUUUUAAGUUAAUCAAAUUUAUUCUUAGGAAUAACAUUCCUUUGGAAUAUAAAGAUUGAAAUUUUAUACCAAAAUAUUUAGAAAAAAACAUGUUUGGUUAGCUUUAUAAUAUUCCUAUGAACCAUAAAUAUAGAGAUUAUAAUAGGUAACUAUAUUGGAAUUUAUUUCCAUCUCCAUGGGAACUUUAUUCCCACCAAUUUCCUUGGAAAAAAAUUUCUAUUCCUAGAAACAUUUUAUUGCCGGAAAUAAAAUUUAAUAAACUUGUAACAAACAUAGACAUAUGCAAUUCUAUCAUUUUAUUUUGAGGAAUAAACAAAUAUUUAAUUCAAAGGUUUAAAAUUAAAACUAUACCCAAAAGAAUACUUUCACACCAAUUUCUCUCUUUAUCCUCUAAUUAAAAAAAAACAUCUUUAUCAUAAAUUCAUUAUCAAUCAUUUCCUUUUUGUUUCCCCUGUUUUUAUUACUUAUUAUUGUUACCUAAGGUUAAAAAAAGAGGUUUAUGUUUGAUUGAGUCAGUCAUCACCACCGAUGAUUAAUUUAUUUUUUUUAGGGAACCACCGGUGAUUAAAUAAAUUGCAUUAAUCCUUCAAAAAAAUAAAAAAAAUAAAUUGCAUUAAAAAAGUAACACAUUCUAUCAAAACACUAAAAUGAUUCUUUUUCUUUGAUCGUUGCUGAUAACUACCUCUCAAAAAAUUGUUGCUAAUUAGAUUAUUUUAUCACUCUUCGUAUUUAAGCUUAACAGUAUAGAUCUCGGUAUACCUCACAACUGCACUAAGAAUAUGUUUGGUUUAGAAUAGAAGUUGUGAAGAGAGAAAUAGGUAAGAGAGAGUAUGGGAAGAGAGAGAAAGGUAAGAAAUAGAGUAAUAUUGAGAUCAAGGUGUCAUUUGAUCCUCUCUAUAUAUAUAUUUAGCCCUAGAAAGCCGUGGGGUUUGUCAUUCUUCAUCUUAUUCACUCGGUUUUCUCCUUUGGUUUUUCACUGGUCGUCAACAUCGCUGUCAAAAUCAUUCUUCUAGCGCAAGGUAAUAUAAUUUAUACUGUUUAUUGUGUAUUUAUACUCUAGUGUGCUUCGUAAUCGCUCAUAUCCUGGUAUAACAUCAACCUUAAAAAUCACGUUUUUUACUUUAUUUCUCAGUCAGUAUGCUUUUUAAAAUUGUGUUUUGAUUUUUCUUUUAUUGUGCACAUUAUUUGUUUUAUUUUUGAAAUUGUGAUACCAUUCUCAUUCCGGAAGCAAUUCCUUAUCGAUUAAUAUUCUGAUUCUGAGGACAAUAGGAGAACAUUAAAGGUGAAGAACAUGGACGAAAAUAUUGGUGAAAAAAAUGUUAUACUAAAACACAAUAUUUUUUUUUCAUAUAAGGUUAAAAUAAGGUUUUUCAUAGAGUCCAAUAUUGUUAUGGAUUAUUGUUAUUUUAAUAGGAUCUAACUAGUUUUUUAAUUCAUAAUUUAACUAAAAAUGAUAAAAUAGUUUAAAUAAAGGAGUAAAUUUUGAAAAGAAAAGUACAGCCGAAGAUUGCGUAUCUUUAAUAUUGUUCAUAUUAUUGUAGAUUGUUCUUCCUACUGUUAUGGAUUAUAGCUAUUUUGAUAGGAUAUAACUAAUUUUUUUUAAUUGAUAAUUUAAAUAAAAAUGAUAAAAUAGUUUAAAUAAAUGAAUAAAAUUUGAAAGGAAAGGAAAAGCCCAACCCAUGUAGUGUAUCUUGAUAUAGAAGAUAUAUAUAUAUAUAUAUAUAUAUAUAUAUAUUGCCCUAGAAAGCCGUCAGGGUUUCAUUAUUUUCAUCUUAUACGUUCAUUCGUUUUCUCCUCUGGUUUUAACUAGUCAAAAUCGUUGUCAAAACCAUUCUUUCAACGCAAGGUAAUAUAAUUUAUACUGUUUAUUGUGUAUUUAAACUCUACUCUGCUUCAUAAUCGCUCAUAUCCUAAUAUAACUUCAAGCUUAAUAAUCAUGUUUUUACUUUAUUUCCCAGCCAAGUAAGCUUUUUGAAAUUGUGUUUGGAUUUUUCUUUUUUAGUUUUUGAACAUGUGAAUAAACAUUGUAUUGUGCUCGUUAUCUGUUUUAUUUUUGAAAUUGUGAUAGCAUUCUGAUUCUUGAAGCAAUUCCUUAUAACUAGGGAUUAAUAUUCUGAUUCUGUGGACAAUAGGAGAGCAUUAAAGUUGAAGAACAUGAAAUUGGAACAGACAACAAGCAAAUAUGAUGAGGCUAAUGUGUUCCUAAUGAAACUGAUGGAUCAAGAAGAGGAGAUGCUUGAAAAUUUUAAUAAGGGUAUGUUGAUACUUUAAUGAACAGUUUUACUAAAUAAUGGUAUUAUGUUUCACUGAAUUUAAAAGUGAAACAAUCUGAUUUUAUUAUAUUAUAUCCAUCCUUUCGGCAUAGUGUACAUUCUGUUGCAUUUUAAAAUGAUGUGUUGCAGAUGAUGUAAUUUUUGGUAGCUUAGUUUGUUUCACAUUGUUCCAUUAGAAAUCAGCAAGAUGCGGCAAGUUGAACGCAACUAUCUGGAAAAUAUGUCUAAGGAUCAUGAAAAAGCCAUGUUGGAACUGGAAGCUAGGAGGAAUGAACUUAUGUCCCGUGAAAUGGAUCUGCAGAAGCGUCAAGUAGAUAAUGACAAUGAGAGCAAUAAGCUAUAUCUUGAGAGGAAACAGGUAAUUUAUUUUGGCUCUUCGAUUUUAUGGUAGCAAUACUAUUCACUCUUGUUAACACUCUUGAAGACACUUAUUCUGAUAGGUCUAUUUCAUAAAAAGUGUUGUCAACGUUCCUUAUUGUGUGGACCAUUUGGUCUUGUGUGUCCAAUCCCUCUUAUUUUAAUAACUUAAUUAUGACAUAUUAAAUAUGUUCUUCAUCUUGUUGUUUACAGAAUGAGAUGGCAAUUGAAGAGCAACGAAAGGCCGAUGAAAAAAUGAUGCAUUUGGCUGAAGAACAUAAGGCACGCAUUUGAUUUUCCUUUCAUGUACAAUAUUUAAUUCAGUUACAUUUAUCCACAUAGGUUUGAUGACCACUACAAGAAAUAUUGGAUUUUCCUAGGGAAAUAUUCCUCGGAAAACACACUUUUUUCGUAGGAAAACACGGAUUUCCGAGAAAUUACCGAGGAAACAAGUUGUAGGAAAUUUUAGAUCUAUUCCUACAAGAUUUCCGAGGAAUUUCCGAGGAAAUACUUUUUCCGACGGAAAGUUUGGUAGGAAAGCAUUUUUGCAGUCUGCCACAUCUGACACACGCUUUCCGACGAAAAUUUCGUAGGAAAAAUUAAUAAUUAAAAAUUGCACACGUUUUCCUACGAAACUUUCCUAGGAAACAAUUAUAUUUUAAAAAAAAAAAAUUAGAUCCAAAUUUUGAUUUCGAAAAAGGCGCCAAAUAAUUCAAAUGAGGUGCCAAAAUAUUUGGCGCCAAAAUUUCAUAAAAAAUCAAAUUUAAAAAAAAAACGAAAAAUAAAAAAAGUGCGCCAAAAUUUGAAAAUAACCCAAAUUUUUUGAUAACAUGUCAUGUUGAUAAAUAAUUACAUAAAACAAAAUUCAUAUAUGCAAGUUAAAUUUUCUUUGACAGUAACCACCUAAAACACCCCAAAAGUGCCCAAAAUCCCUAACCAAAAAACAGCAAUUGAAAAGAAUAUAAAUUACUCGUUAUGAUCAUCAUCCCUCUCCUCGUCCUCGUCCUCGUCCUCAUCCUCGUCCUCGUCCUCAUCAUCAUGAUCAUCAUCAUCAUCAUUGUCGUCGUCAUAUGUUCGGUCUUCUUGAACCGACGGUGAUGAUUGACUCGAUGGCGACGAUGAUUCCGAUGUUUUCCUACACUUCAUGCCACCCAUCCUUUUUGUAACCAUCCUUUUGAGUUUUCUCAUUUCCUCUGCCUGUUUGGCCAGCAAUUUCCUUAACUCAUUCUCCGAUUCUUCUUUCUUUGCCAACGCCUCCUUUUGAGAUUGCAACUCCUGGUUCAUUCGUUGUAUCAUUGCUUGCAUCUCAAGAGGCAGCUCUGUAGAACGAGAUGAGGACUCUGGUGGAGGAGGAACAUAGAACAAAUCUCCAUGUACCACAUUGCCGGCUAAUGGCCCAAGACCGUACAUUCUACCCUUUCUUUCUUUUCCUCCAUCCGGUCUUCCUUUUUCUGCAGCCUUCGCCCAUAAUUGAAGUUUAAUGGGGAAGGGAAUUUCCGGAUACGAUGGAAUCUCAAGAUUCUCCUUCAAAAAUUCCGCUGCAUUCGUGCGAUAAGCUGCCUAUAAAGUAAAGUAAUCAAUAAUAAAGUCAAAACCGAAAAAAAUAACAAAUACACAGCAGCAGCAAGCUAUCAACACCAAAACAGAAAAUGGAUCACCUAAAAAACUCACUCCCUAACCACUGUCAAUAACAGAACAGCAUGCCAUUGAUAUCGUGUUCGUCUUUCGGCUAGUACACGUAAUAAUAGUCAUUUCCUUUUUUAAUAAACCAUUGAUAUCAGCAUGAAAUGCAAUAAUAUUUUGAUAACUAACAUACUUAUUAGGCUCUUCUUAGCAGGUAGGUACUUUGGCAUCGUUAGCAUGAUACUAUAUAUGUAACAGAAGCUGUAGAAGACCUUUUGAUGUAUAAACUAAAGAUCCAGCUAGUACAAUUCAAUUCACUAAAGAUCAAGCUAUAAACCAUAUGACCGACACACGACCCACAUCCUUUGAACACAGCAGAGAACAUAAAAUUAUUAAGAAUUUACCUGGGUAUUGCUAGCUCGAGCAUCAACAUACCGACCAAGAUUCUGACUGAAACGAGUUACAUCAUGGAUCUCUUCCGGAUAAGGAACUCUACCCAAUCUAUUUCGCUAAUUGUACACACAAAUAUUAACCAAUUAGAACAUUUGGCAAAUUGAAUAUAUACAUAUAUAUAGAAAUAUAAAUAGUUAAAUAUAUUUUUUUACCAAAUCUCUAGCAUAGGUAGCGGUACUGACAGAACCUUGUGCGUGCAACUGCCCUCCUACAAUAGAUGCCCUAUUCACCUUGUUAGCUUUGGACCGAUUCUUAAAAUGUGGAUCUUCAUUCCAAUACUUCAGCAAUAACUCCCAGCUUUUCUCUCCGAUCCAUUGUGUACGAUAAUUGCCCUUACGUUUUUUCAAUUCCUGCCGUUCAUCAUAUAACAAAUCUGAUAAACGUCUUGCAGCUACCCUAUGAAAGUUUCUCUCUACAAGAGUGUGAUGAUGAGGUUCCCAUCUACAAAAAUCCUACAAUAAAAAAAAUUAUUAGACAUUCAGUAAUGUAAAAAAUAAACCAUAUUUUAAAGUAAAUACAAUUAUUUAAUAUUCAAUAAAAUGUGUUUACCGAAAAGUAUUUAAAAAGGUCGUUCCUGUCAUCGGUAGUAAGAUCUGAAUAUACGGCCCAACGCCUAUCUUUAGGGUAAAACGUCUGGAUCGCCAUUCUAAUAUGUUCUGAUACUCCGUGGGAUGGCUCUAACCUACAAAUUUGAAUUGUUAAUUAAAUUAUGCAUUUAAAAAACUAAUAAGAAUUAAGUCAAACAUAGGUAACAAAUUAAUUUUUUAUUACUUACGUUUCAGGUGUUGGUGUAACCACAACAAGGUUAUCCACAUACUCCCAGUCUUCAAUGAUUUGACGUCGUUGUCGUCGUCUUUGAUCAGCCCCAGACGGUACCUCUUCAUUUUGGUUGUUUUGUUGUUGUUGUUGUUGUUGUUGUUGUUGUUGUGGAGGCCGUUGAUCAGCAAGUAAGGCUAGGAAAUUUCCAGUUUGCAUAAGAUCUUGCAUCAGUUCCGUUGAUGAUUGUGAUGGAACGGAUGUGUUAAAGCCUUGUCGGACAUUAGAUCGGGUGGUGUUGUAAUUUGGCGAGUGUGUCGAUGGCGGAGUAAAUCCAGGCAUGGCAAAACCAGGACUAGAAUAUAUGGGGGGCUGGCUAGUAGUAGCAUGACUAGUAGUAGCUGCUGGAAAUGAUGCGGGAAGAAUAUGUGAGAAUGGUGCGGAAGGGGGCUGGCUAGUAGUAGCUGCUGGAAAUGAUGCGGGAAGAAUAGGCGGGAAUGGUGCGGGAAGAAUAGGCGGGAAUGGUGCGGGAGGAAUAGUCGGGAAUGGAGUGGGGUAAGGAGGUGGAGUAGUAGCAGUAGGAAUAGGAGUACCAGUAGGAAUAGGAGUACCAGUCCGUUCAUCAAUGUUACGGAAGGUAAUCCCCGUCGGCCGAACCCACUGUCUGGUAGGGUCUGAGGAAACAUCUAUUCUUCCAUUCUUCUUUUUCUUUGGCUUCCCAUGAUCUACAACAUGAGCCUUACCCUUAUCCUUGUCUCGUCCAGACAUCCCUGUCUGCUUGCCUAAACAGUCGGGAACAUAAAUAAAAAGAGUUGAUUAAUGCUCUAAAAUACGCACAGGUUUAACAUCAAGAAAAAAUGCAAUGAUACAUUCAAUUCAACUACACUGUAUCAGUAAUUCAGAAAGAUGGAUGGGUAGUACGCAUGGUAUUCAAAAAGGUAAACACAUGUUAACUCUCAACCCACAAUUCAUAGCUCUUACCUAACCACGACGGCGACACCUAAUGACGAAACCUAAAUGCACACUAACAGAUUUGAAUCAGCAUAAAGUUACUUUUAUACUAUUAUGUUAUGGUAAUAAUGUCAUAGAUUAAGAAAUGUAGAAGUAUGAUCAAUUGAGUAAGUGAAAAAAAGAAAAAAGAGGAAUAGAUUGAAAUUCUGACUUUUGCAGCAAAUUGGUAAAACUGCUAACAUGUUUCUGUACCUGUACACGUUCAUUAGUAAAACUGUACAAAUUGGAUAUUUAAACACCAAAAGUAAAAUUAUAUUUAUAUUCUUGACAUUCUAAGCUUUCCAGGGAAUGUUCGUUUACUCAAUUCGGACACCGUUUGAUAUUUUAAUUAAAUAGAGGAAGUUUAAGUCUGUUUACGAACAAAACUGAACUUUUGGAUUGGUUUUGUAGAAUUACACUGAAAACCCUAUGAAGCACGGACUCGGACACGGACACGGGACACGACACGGACACGGGACACGGCUAAUCUAAAAAAACUUAGGACACCGACACGGCUAUAUCAUGGUGGAAAAGGGAGCAGCGAAAACACUACCUCAAGAAUUUAGUGGAAUUCAACUUGGAGAUAUCAUCACCAAGUUAACAUAAACCAAACUUUUAAUUAAAAUGAUACUCAUACAAAAUUAAUUCUAAAACAUAUGCAGUACUGACACUCAAUAUUAAAAUGAAUGCUAGUUAUGCGAAGGUCACUAUAUCAAAUAGACUUUAAAAAUUUUAAGAAGUAACUAACCUGAUGAACGGCGGCAGCGGUAUACAGUGAAGGAAGGAAGGAAGGACGGCGACAGUGGUUUCUUGAGCGAUUGAGAACACGGCGGACACGGCUUCUAGAAGAAGAAUAAAAAACGACCACACAGGCUGCAAUUAUCAUAGCAUAGAUAAAUGCAAUAUGAGUCAAAUUAGCACAGGUCUUAUAAGCAAAAAAAAUACAUUCACAAUGGAAUUUGAAUAAAUGAAUUAGAAAACAACUUAUAAAAGUUGAAUGCAUUGUUCAGCUCCAUACUUUAUAGCAUGAAUGCAACAGAUAUCAUCACCAUAAACACCAUUUGAUCAACCUUGUAAUUACAUAAACCAUACAUCCAAAGAUUUAUUUUUCAAACAACAUGUUAUGAAAACCAAAAGAACAUUAGGGAACCCAAAUCAAAUUUUAUGUGUAUACAAACCAAAAGAACCCAAACGUGUUAACUUAUCAAAAGAACCCAGACCAAAUCAGAAAACCCUAAUAUUUUAAAUCACAAAUUAGCAGCAAUAAAAUCAAUUUAGCAAAGGUGAUUCACUAACCUUUUAGAGCAAUAAAAUCAACGGUGAUGGAUUGUGGACUGAGUGAGUUGGAAACUGAGCAAUUGUAGCACCGAUUGGAACUAUUGGACCGAUUGUGAGAAGCUAGGUUUGGAAGUGACAAGAAUAUGAAUCGAGUGUGUAGGCUAGGUUGGGAGUGUGAGAGCGAGAGCGUGUGAAGCCAUAACGAGGAAAAGGAAGGAGGAAGGAGUGAGGAGCGACUGAGUUGGUGAACGGCGACUGAGCGACUGAGUUGGUGAAUGGCGACUGAGCGACGGAGCGAAAAUUGAGCGAUUGAGCGACUGAGCGAAAAUUGAGAUUGGUGAGUGAGUGAGUUUGAGAUUUUAGGGUUUUGGAGGUGUUGGAGGGAGAUUGAAAUUGGGGAAAAGAGGUGGGAGGGAGACUGAAAUUGGAAUGGAAAAGUAAGCUACGACCCUUUCUUUCAUUUUGACAACAUUUUAUUUUAGGCUUAAAUAUGCAAACCGUCCCUGUAAUUUGAGUGAAUUUUGAUUUUCGUCCCUGUAAAAAAAAAAAUUUAAUUACAUCCCUGUAAAAAAAUUUUUGUUUUAAAAAGGUCCCUGGCCCCACUUCAUUGGUGAUUUGGCAAGGUUUUGGCCACGUGGCAGUUGCUGACUGUGCAACUUUUGCCACGUGGCGGUCCACGUCAUUAUUUUUUAUUUUUUUAAAAAAAACUGAUUUAUUUUUUUUUUCAAAUUUUUAAAAAUUUGAAAAAAAAAAACUGAAAAUAAAUAAAUAAAUCAUAAAAAAAAUUCCAAAUUUUUUUUUUUGAAAUGUGAAGAAAAAAAUUGGAAAUUAGUGUUUUUAAAAUCUACAAAUAAAUUUUUGAAAAAUAAAAUUAAAAAUUAUAUAAUCUCAAAAUUUAUAACUUUUGAAAAUAUAAUUUAAUUUUCAGAAUUAAAAAAAAAAAAUGAAUUUUCGUCAAUUUAACAAUACAACUUUGUUAGGUUCAUCUACAUAUAGGUAAGUUACUUUAAAUAUGUGUUUGAUCACACCAUAGAAGUCAUCUUCACCUCCAUCAAUGAUUCCUUUGACGUAAACACCACUGUUAAUUGUUUUUUUGCCCACUGAUCGUGAUUGAGUAUGAAAUUUAAACCCAUUGACAAAGUAAGUGUCCCAUUGUUUGACUUUUCUUCCCGGACCUUCGGCUAAUCCCCUCAAAUGAUAUAUUUGUGUAGUCGGAUGAGAAUUUAACAAUUGAUGCUUAAACCAUCCUUGAAAACUUGUAUAUAUGUUGCCGAUNNNNNNNNNNNNNNNNNNNNNNNNNNNNNNNNNNNNNNNNNNNNNNNNNNNNNNNNNNNNNNNNNNNNNNNNNNNNNNNNNNNNNNNNNNNNNNNNNNNNNNNNNNNNNNNNNNNNNNNNNNNNNNNNNNNNNNNNNNNNNNNNNNNNNNNNNNNNNNNNNNNNNNNNNNNNNNNNNNNNNNNNNNNNNNNNNNNNNNNNNNNNNNNNNNNNNNNNNNNNNNNNNNNNNNNNNNNNNNNNNNNNNNNNNNNNNNNNNNNNNNNNNNNNNNNNNNNNNNNNNNNNNNNNNNNNNNNNNNNNNNNNNNNNNNNNNNNNNNNNNNNNNNNNNNNNNNNNNNNNNNNNNNNNNNNNNNNNNNNNNNNNNNNNNNNNNNNNNNNNNNNNNNNNNNNNNNNNNNNNNNNNNNNNNNNNNNNNNNNNNNNNNNNNNNNNNNNNNNNNNNNNNNNNNNNNNNNNNNNNNNNNNNNNNNNNNNNNNNNNNNNNNNNNNNNNNNNNNNNNNNNNNNNNNNNNNNNNNNNNNNNNNNNNNNNNNNNNNNNNNNNNNNNNNNNNNNNNNNNNNNNNNNNNNNNNNNNNNNNNNNNNNNNNNNNNNNNNNNNNNNNNNNNNNNNNNNNNNNNNNNNNNNNNNNNNNNNNNNNNNNNNNNNNNNNNNNNNNNNNNNNNNNNNNNNNNNNNNNNNNNNNNNNNNNNNNNNNNNNNNNNNNNNNNNNNNNNNNNNNNNNNNNNNNNNNNNNNNNNNNNNNNNNNNNNNNNNNNNNNNNNNNNNNNNNNNNNNNNNNNNNNNNNNNNNNNNNNNNNNNNNNNNNNNNNNNNNNNNNNNNNNNNNNNNNNNNNNNNNNNNNNNNNNNNNNNNNNNNNNNNNNNNNNNNNNNNNNNNNNNNNNNNNNNNNNNNNNNNNNNNNNNNNNNNNNNNNNNNNNNNNNNNNNNNNNNNNNNNNNNNNNNNNNNNNNNNNNNNNNNNNNNNNNNNNNNNNNNNNNNNNNNNNNNNNNNNNNNNNNNNNNNNNNNNNNNNNNNNNNNNNNNNNNNNNNNNNNNNNNNNNNNNNNNNNNNNNNNNNNNNNNNNNNNNNNNNNNNNNNNNNNNNNNNNNNNNNNNNNNNNNNNNNNNNNNNNNNNNNNNNNNNNNNNNNNNNNNNNNNNNNNNNNNNNNNNNNNNNNNNNNNNNNNNNNNNNNNNNNNNNNNNNNNNNNNNNNNNNNNNNNNNNNNNNNNNNNNNNNNNNNNNNNNNNNNNNNNNNNNNNNNNNNNNNNNNNNNNNNNNNNNNNNNNNNNNNNNNNNNNNNNNNNNNNNNNNNNNNNNNNNNNNNNNNNNNNNNNNNNNNNNNNNNNNNNNNNNNNNNNNNNNNNNNNNNNNNNNNNNNNNNNNNNNNNNNNNNNNNNNNNNNNNNNNNNNNNNNNNNNNNNNNNNNNNNAAAAAUAAUGCAACAUAUUUUAAUAACUAAAUUAACAAUAUAUAUAAAUACACACAUUUUUAAAAGUAAACAUUUUUAACUAAACUACAAGUUUUUCUACAAGCUAACACUUUUUUCAUUAUACUCUCUCUAACACUAAUAAGUUGAAAUUUAAUUUAAUCCCACUAAAUAUUUUUUUAAAGAAGUUAAUCCAACUAACAUUUUUUUUAUAGAAAAAUCCCGCUAACGUUUUUAUUAAUUACAAUAUAAUAAUUUUAGUAACUAUUUUUCUAAUAAUUAAUAUUUAGUACUAAUACCAUUGUAGCAAUAGUUAGAAAUGUACCAAACUCAAAUAAUAAGUCAACGAACUAAGCGGAGGCAGCAAAAUCAACAGCAACGAACAACAACACCAACCUCAAAAUGGAUCAGAACCAACAUAACUAUAAAAAAAAUGUAACUUAUUUUAAAAUAUAACGAUAUUAAAUAUUUAUAAAUUCAAACACAUGUAAAAUUGAAAUCAAUUAUAAGAAAAUAUCAAUAAUUACCUUUGUUAGAAACUUCAACAAUGAUGAUAAUAUUAUAGAGAAUAAAAUUUGAGUGAUAUUAAAAAAAUUUGAAUGAGAAAUAAUGAUAAUAAAAUGAUGGAGAAUAAAAUUUGAGUGAUAUUAAAAAAAUUUGAAUGAGAAUAGAAUGAAGAUUGUAAAGAAGAAAAUAGAGUGUUGUAUAUUUAUAUACACAAAUGCUGCAACGGUAACAAACUGCUAGUUAGCAUGUGGGUCUCGUGUUUUCCGACGAAAUUUUCGUAGGUAAAUUCCACCAAUCAAAACCAUACACACACCCUUUAUCCAACGGCUGUGUGCAUGUGGGGUCGCAGCUUUCCUACGAAAAUAUUCCUCGGUAAAGUAGGCCAAUCACAUGAUUCCACACACCCUUUUUCUGCAUGUGGGGGCCGCAGCUUUCCUAGGAAAUUAUUCCUAGGUAAAUUAGGCCAAUCACAUGCUUCCACACACCCUUUUCUGCAUGUGGGGGCCGCCGCUUUCCUACGAAAUUAUUCCUAGGUAAAGUCAGCCAUUUACAAGCUGCCACGUGCUCCACUUUUCUGUCUAUAGUACUGUUUUUUACUGAAAGUUGCUUUCCGACGAAAAUUUCGUCGCUAAUUCGUAGGAAAACGCUUUCUAGGAAAUUUCGUAGGAAAGUUUUCUAGGAAAAUCCACCAUUUCUUGUAGUGGACUCUUUUGGUUGGAUGUUGCAGAAAGAAAAGGAGAAACUUCACAAGAAAAUCCAUGACCUACAGAGAGGUCUUGAUGCAAAACAAGCAUUGGAAUUGGAAAUUGAACAGUUGAGAGAAGCUUUCGAGGUAAAGAAAAAACUGGAGGCAAUCGAAAUGGAGCUGCAGGAAAAAGAAGAGGGCCUUCAAGACAUGGAUGAUCUUCAACGAACACUUGUUGUCCAGGAGCGCAAAACUAAUGACGAGUUGCAAGAUGCCCGAAAAAAGUUAAUAAGUGUAUGUAUUUUUCUCAGCAUUUAAAUGUUAUUAUUAUUAUUAUAAUUAUAAUGAUGUCAAUAUGUCUUUUUGCCCAUCAACUCAUCUAAUGGUCUGAAAAUCAAGUUUAGAAAUGUCUUCUUGUAACUGAUCUUUUACAAAAACAGGAUAGUGUGUUGCUGUUGCUUUUGCUCCCAUGAUUUCAUUGUUUGUUUUCUUCAAGCAAUCUGCAUUCUUUAUUCACAGUGGAUUGGCUGCCCAAAGAAACCUCGAACCAUAAUUUCUGUGAAAAGGAUGGGUAACCUUGAUACUGAGCCAUUUUUGGAAGCAGCUAAGAGGAAGUUUUCUGAUGAGGUGAAUGGGAAAGCAAGGCCUAGGAAAAAAGCUAGGAAUAAAGUUUCUGAGGAAGUGCAAUUGAAAGCAGUCGAGUGGUGCUCAAAGUGGGAUGAAUGUCUUAAAGAUCCAAGUUGGCAUCCCUUCAAAAUUGUAGUUGAUAAAGAAGGGAAAUCCAAGGUACAAUGACUUCCAAAAUUAUGUUAGUUAAGUUAAAGUUAAUAUCUUGAGUUAAAUAUGUUUUAAUUCGCUACAAAAUCACGAGAUCUUAAGUUUGGUUCUUAUUAAAUUUCAACAGUACCGUCGUCCAUAAUAAUACAUUUUGUAAGUAUAGUCUCUAUUUUAGAGGUUGAUUUUACUACUGGCACAUGUGACAGUGACUUCAGUUCAACUUGUUGUAUAAAUAAGCACUGUUUUGGAUAUAUUUCCCCCCUAAAACUAUGAUGCAUCAUUUCUUAGUAAUUAUUUGGCAUGUUUCUUUCCAUGAUAUGAACAGCAUGUACCAUGAUCUAAUAUAUGUUAAUAUAUGGCACAGGAAAUUUUAGACGGAGAAGAUGAAAAACUGAAAAGUUUAAAGGAUGAAUUCGGGGAUAAGGUGCAUGAUGCAGUAGUUACAGCUCUAAAGGAGUUAAAUGAGUACAAUCCUAGUGGAAGAUACUCAAUACUUGAACUCUGGAAUUUUAAGGAAGGAAGGAAGGCUACGGUGAAGGAGGGUGUUUCACAUUUAAUUAGGCAAUGGAAAUCAGCUAAGCGAAGGAAAACUUACCGAAACUACUUUUAAGGCGGUUAGAAUUUAGAAUUGGACUUAUGUGUAAUUUUACGAGGAUUAGUUUUGCUAUCUAAAAACGUUUAGCGGCGUAGUUUGUAGCCCGCUUGUCUUCCAUUAACGUGAAAUUUUCUGUAUAUAUAUAUAUAUAUAACACAAAGAUAAUUAGACCUAUAUGCAAGAAAUUUAAUUUAACUACUGGCUCUAAUAGACUUUGGUACGGUUUGGUGUUUAGCAUGUUGAACUUAAAAUUGCUUUUACCAACUGCAGGUUUGAUUAUGACUGCCAGUUGGAAGUUUCUUACAAUUAUUACAACAUAAUUUAACUGUCCUGUUUUCACACUGGUUAAAUAAUUAAUAUUUAAUUAUAGUUCUAUACCUAGUAGUGUACCAGACUACCAGUUCAGUUUAUUUCGUUUUCAAUCUAAACCUAUGUUAUUAUUAGAUGUUGUGAGUGCCCCGUUAACUCUUGCGUGCUUCUCAAAUGCAACCUUAAAUCAUCUAUCAUAAAUGAUGUGGACAAGAGUUAUCAUAAUUUCUUAAUGAACCAAAUUUCAAUGCAGCCUAAUUUUUACUAUCAAAAGACAAUGUCGGUUGUCGUUGACAUAUUUUACGCAUUGCUCCACGAUGGACCAAUUAUGAAGUUGCACCGUUAAAAAUGCAGUACAAUCUCAUCAAAUAUAAUUUGUUAAUGAGUUUUUUUUUUUUUUUUUGUCAAAUAACCUAGUGGUUAGAGCUCGUACAAUUUAAUUGUGGAGAAGUGGAGCAUCCGGUGUUCAAACCCCUGCUCCUACAUAUAAUAUGCAACAUCCUACCAACUGAGCUAAGCUCACGGGGAUAACUUAUUAAUAAGUUCUAUUAAAACAAAUGAUGUGGAAGAAUCCCAAGUGGGUUGUGGAUUAAUUCUUGGUCAAAUUAACAUAAAAAAAAAAAAAAAAAAAAACCUAGAUAAAAUCUCAUCCUCAUGACACGUAGAAAAGGUUGGGUAAGACUUGACGCAGCUAUAUGAUUAUUCAAACAUAUAAACACACGCAGUAAUUUUUCCAGGUUUUCUUUUUUGUGACAACAGCAACAAUAAUAACAAUACUCUAAAGUCUAAACUACCAAAACACACAAACUCAAAAUACAUUAUUAUAUGGCUGUGUUUUUUCAAAGAGUUUGUUUCUGUUGUCAAGAAAUUCCUCAUCUGGCUGUGUUUCUGUAACGCAUAAAAGAAUCAAGCCUCUGCAACCGGAGUUGCUUCUUAAACCUGUUUAUGAAAUCAUCAGCUUUUGCAUCAACAGCUUCAUCUUCUUUACACGUUGUCGUUUCACUCCUCGCCGCUGCCGUCGCUGGCCUUCUUCUCUCCACCGUUUCUUCAUCUUCUUCCCCCCGUUCAAACGUUUUCUCGCUCGCUGAUUUCUUCAUCUCCACCUUGCUCUUUACCUGGUUCAGAGAUGGGUUUUCAGCUUCCGGUUGUGCUGGUACGUUUUUGUUGAGAUUGAAGGACAUGACUCGUUGUAAAAGAGACGGUUUUCUAACGAGUUGAGGCUUAGUUGAGUCAGACUCAGACUCGGGUUGAACGUAAUGUGUCUGUGGAUAUUGUGGUUCGUGUUUGUUGAGAUUGAAGGACAUAACUCUCUCUAACAAAGAAGGUUUUCGAACGAGUUGAGGGUGAGUGAACUCGGACUCGGACUCUGACUCUAGCUCUGGCUCGGGUUGUGCAACAAAUGAUGGUUCUUGGUUGUAGUGACGGAGGUUAAAGGACCUGAUACGGUUGAGAAGUGAAGGUGAACGAUUGAGUUGAGGUUGUUGGAUUUGGUCGUUUUUGGGUGGACCAUUGAAGCGAGAAGCUAGAGCUAUGGUACCUAUGACAAGGUUUACAAUGAUGAAAAUAGAAGAAGGUGUGAACCAUGUUGCUAUGAAAGUUGUUGGGUCUGCCAUCGUUGUUAAUUUCUUAAUUUGGAGGGUUUUUGCGUUGAGACCUUCAACACUGAAGAGUGAAGGGUGUAAAUAGAGAAAGGAAAAUCACCAUUUACGUCUAGUCAUGUAGUCAGAAGAAAGGAGAAAAAAAGUUGAUAAAUAAAUAAAUAUCAUGGGGGUGGGGAACUUGUUUCUGUAGGUCUGUUGACGUUUACUUCUUUUUUGGGGGGAUUGUCGUUUUGUUUUAUUUUCUGACCAUUUUAAUAAUUAAUACGUACUUUAAUCUAAACUAAAUGCUUUGUUAAAAUUAAAACGACUUGAGAGAAUCUAAGGACAUGUUACUAUUUUUUGGUUCUUAAUAGAAAAAUGUUUCAGUUCAUAUGUUAUGUUUUGUUUUUUUUCAAGGUAUUAAAAAAUUUAUGAGCACAACAUUACAAAGAUGAAAAAAAAUUGUAAACACAAAAUAUAGGUGCAAUUUGAUAAUAGGUGAUGGGAAUAAAGAUAAAUGAACCAAAAAAUUAUAAAAGCACAUGGAAGAUUGACUCAAGUAUUACCAAAGUAUAAGGGAAUUGACUCAAGACUUUUAAAUACAGAUACCACAAAAUGGACCUACUCCAUUUGGCCACUUUUUGUAGCAGUGUUAUUUAUCACGAAAAUUUUCUUUACCAAAAGAAAAUUUCACGACUUUUAAUUGGUCUAUCAAAUUAGUUUUUGUCCUGGCUAAUGACAGCUCUAAUAUUAUGCAUAUUCUCAAUCAUGAAUUUGAGAUAUUUUAUAUAUGAUGAUAAAUAGUUUUGUAUGUUUAUGUAUGAUGUAUACGUGUUUUAAAUUUUAUUCUUCUUCUCUAUUUGCAUAGCAAAAUAAUAAUAACGACAUUUUGUCGUUAUAUUUCAAUUUUAAUUUUGCACUACUUGUCUACUGCAACUUAACGUCAUCUAAGAUUGCUUUUUUAAGAGGUAAAAAUUAAAAAACGUCCCUUUUAAAAACAAGGGGUGGCAAAAAGAGAUUAAAAAGUAUAAAAAAAAUAGAUUUAAUUGCAUGUUUGAUCCAUUAUGUUUAUUUUAGUUUUUAAGUUGAUCCCUUAUGUUUUAAAAGUUUUAAGUUGGUUCUUUACGUUUUCAAAGUUUCAUGUUAGUCCAAAACAUUACUGACAUUGAAAUAAGUUAAUCUCUUCCGCGACAUGAUAUUGAGUUUAAUAAAACAAAAAAACUAAAAAAAUGUUUUAAAACUGAUUUUCUAAUUAAAAUAAGUUUCAUCACCCAUAUUGUCAACCUGAAUCUUUAAACGUUAAAUGACUGAAGGGACUAAUUUAUUCUAACGUGAGUAAUAUUUUGGACCGACUUGAAACUUUUAAAAUGUAAGAGACCCACUUAAAACUUUUAAAAUAUAAGGGACCAACUUAAAAAACUAAAAUAAACAUAAAAGAUCAAACAUGCAAUUAAGUCUAAAAAAAAUACAAAAAUUACCAAUUAAAAACAGAACAAUAGCCGAUUACAUAGUGAUAUAAGUAUAACCAAUAGUCCAAUCCAAACCACACCUCUCUUUACCUCUCUUGUGAUCCAUAUAGUUUGUUGUUGUUGUUGACUUGACCCAAAGUGUGUGUGAAAAUGUUAACUACAGCUACAGGUAUCGUUGUCCAUGACAUUUAUAGUAGUAUACCCACCACAGUGAUGUGUCAUAUGUGUUUAUUUUUACAUUUAAUAUCGCAUAUUAUAUUAGCACGUCUUCUUUAUUUUUUUAUUGUUGACCUUGACCAUAUGCAGCCAUAGGUUAAAGUCUCCUCUAAGAAGUCAUAUUAAUUCGUUUAUUUAUACUGACGUCAAAAAAAUACUGUAGUUUAUUUAUACUGCACAAUUGUACGUGGCAAUACAUAUCAUAUUUAAAAAAAAAAUUAAAUGUCAUAUUUAUUGUUUGUAGUAAUCCUUUUUACAUUUUUCUUCUUUUCUUCCAACAAAAAUUUCAUCAAUCAUUUAAGUCACAUAAUAUAAAAUUUUAUUCGUAUUAAUUAUUUAAGUCACAUAAUAUAAAAUUUACUCAUUAAUUUUGUUUCUAAUUGAUUUACUAAAAAUUUCAUCAAUGUGUUAAUAUAGCUCAAAUUGGCAGGGACAUUUGUAGAAACCAUAGUUCGAACUUCGAACAUUCUAUUCAUUAGGUUACUAAAAUAAAUUAAUCAAUCUUGUAAAUAUAUUUAUAAUUUAUUUUUGUGUUGUUUGAUAUCGAAAAAGUUAAUUAGACUUAAAAGGAAUGUAUGAGACCCCAAUGAAGUUUCAUACUUACGCAGUGUUGAUAUAUGAAAUAAAGGAGCUCGAUGAUCAAACCAAUUUUUUUUUUUAACAAAAUCAAACCAAUUUUAUUAUUUGUCAUAUUUAAGAGAAGAGAAUCAAUGUGCAUAUUUCUUGACCAAACUUAAAGAUUCCUCAAAUAUUGAUUUUUCCUUUCAUGAUUCACCUCCUAAAGACCUUCAAAGUUUUCUAAGAAAUGACGUAGCUGAAACUUUUUUUUAGUGUCUAGUUUGCUCUUUUGUUUUCUCUUUUUGCUUGUUUGAUUGGCAUCGUAAAAAAAAUAAUGUAUGUAAAUUAACUCUGUUUUCCCUAAAAAAAAAAAACAAUUACUUACAAUAUUCAUUAAAAAUCGUUUAACUUUUUAGUUGUUGAAUCAUUGACUUGGUGUUUUAUGCUCUGACUGACCGAUAUCUAGUGUGUUUUUUGGCUUUGUAUCUUUGAUUAUAUUAAUUAAUCCACCGUGCUUCUCGCUGCAUUGAUAAAAUUAAUAUGCAUAUUUUAUCACUUACCUAUACAACGGUCCCAAUAUAAACGUGUUAUGAAUUUUGGUAGUAGUGUUUGAAAAAAAGCAAUGAUAUUUGUACAUCCACUUUAUGAUAACUUUAGUGAUAACCUUAUUUUUCUUCCUUUAUUGGUCAAAAACAAUAGAGAGAAAAAGAAGGAGAGAAGAUAAGACCAUCAUAUGAAUAUGAGAGAGAAAGUUAUACAAAAAUUAUCACAAAUUAGUUGUACAAAUAUCAUUUAUCUUUCAAAAAUUGUGAUGGAACAAUCUAGAUAGGUGAACACCUAAAGACUAAAAUAAACAAUAUCGGACACGAUAGGCUAUUCUAUCAUAACAAGCAGGCAAGGAGAGAAACUUAAGCAUUUGAACUUUCUGAAUAUGGGAAAAUCGACGUUUGCAUGUUCACAUCAGACGACCUAUGCACAUGCUGGUAGAGUCAAUGUUUUCACAUUCAUCCACCAUCAACCGUGAAUAUGAAGGACAAUAAUGAGGGUAAGACAAAAACAAAAACAGCUUGUAAUAAAGAAAAUAGUACACGGUUAAACCACGAGGGAAAAAUCGGAAGUUACUAGUGAGUAGUGAGUCUAGUGACACUGCUCCUUGCUUAUCUUAAAGUGUUUUAAUUCUCUACAUUAUUUAGACCUUUAUUCGGAUUUAGAGACUUGAAAAGUAAGAGUGACUCAUCUUAGGAAAAGAUAGAGUAACAUAUGAUGAUCCUACUUUUUCAAAAGUUGGGGGUUCACAUGUACAAAUCUAGAUCCAAUAAUUUGAAUUAUUUGGUUUAUGUUUUUCUUUCUAGUUGGAUCCCACUAAAACCAAUAAUUAGGUCAAGCACAGUUUAUAGUAUUAUGGUGGGUAUGUUUGAAUUACGAUGAUUCAACGUGAUUUUGUAAAAGUUACAAAAAAGUGUAGUUUUUGAAAAAUCAGAAUCAUCGUGAUUUUGAUAUAUCCACCAUCAAACUAUGACAAAAUAUGCCAAGAGACAAAAUAUGACGUAUUCGUUUCCGUUGUUUAUUUAGCCGUGGCUAAGUCGUUAGAGAUAGAUUUUACAUUCCUACUCGUUACUACAAAAUAGUCUCAUACACUUUUCACGACAUGAUAAUAGGAAAAUCUGCGAUUUAAGAGAAUCCAAGAGAUUCAAAAUGAAAAAGAAUUAUUAAACCAAUUAGAGAAUUGCAUUUGCAAAUUUGUUUUUUUUCCCAUAUAUCUCUUGUUAUUAAACCAACAAGAUAUCUGUAACAAAAAAAAAAAAAGAACCAACAUGAUCUAUUUGAAACACCACUCGCUUCAUGCAUGACUAACCAUAAUGCCCAAUUUUAUUUUAUUUUAGUAAAACCAUAAUGCCCUAAUUGUUGAACACCAAAUUAAGUGUGGUGUGCAAUCCGAACUAUAUAAAGUUAUAUUAGCUUGUUCUAUGAUGUUUAAAUCUUCCAAUCAGAAAAUAGAGUUCCAAACGUGUUACCUUUUACUCACCAUCAUCAUCAUCAUUUACAUUACCCAGUAAAUAAAGAAAAUGUGACUCAAAACAAGUUAUCUUUUACUAAUACCAUGUUCCUUGUAAAAUGAAUCUAUGAGAAUAUUGGUCUAAGAUGGACCAAUUUUUUCAACGGUUAGAUUAGAUGAACCCCAAAAUUUUAUCAUGAUCUAUAAACACUCAAUUUAACCCAUCUUCCCUUAUCAUUUUAUAAAAAAAAUCAUUUUUACCCUUUAUAAUUAUUUUAAUUUAAAAUAUUACAUAUUGUUUAUGAUAAAAAAAAAUUCUUGACAAAUUUGUUACACUAAUUUUUUUUGUUGGUGUUUACACUUUUUUUUACGAAUUUGUUACGGUAAAUGUUGGACAGCAUAUUAUUAUUUGAUUUUAUUUUUACGAAAACGUACAAAAAAAAAAUUAAGGAGAAAAUAAUUUAUUUUUUUUACAAAUAGAAAAAAUACAUGUUAAUGUUACCUGAAAAAGUUUAAUUUAGUUACCGUUAUCAAUUAUUUAUUUUUUCAUUGUUUUUUUAGAAUAGUCAUAUUAUCCUUUCCAAAAGACUAAUAAUAGCAGUAAUAAUAAAUAAUACAUUCUCUAACUGUUCAUUGGUAUCUUUUAUAAAACAAACUUUCUCGUUGCUAUGUUUAAGUAAAUGAAAAUAAAUUUUUGUGAGUAAAUAUUUUAAUAUUAUAGUAUAAAAGAUAUGUUAAAUUAUUAAUUCUAAAUAUUGAUCGAAAACGAUGGGUUUUUAUUGAAAACAAUUGAAGAUUGAGUGUUGAAAUUACAGAAAUAAAAAAGAAGGCAGGAAAAUAGUUUGAAAAGAGUAAAGGAAAUAAUUAGACGUGUGAGGUGCAUUAUGUUAUUGUGCACACAUAUAAUCCAACAGUUAUAAAUAUUGAUCCAUUAUGGACCAAUACUUACACAGGUCCAAGCUAAAUGCCACCCUCGUACCAAAUAUGUACUUGUUUUUUCUUUUCUUCUUUUUUCUUUGUGGAGUCAUCACCAUGAAAUAUAUACUUAUUUGUUAUUUAUAUCAAACUACAUUUUUGAAAAUUCACACAAUGUUAUUGCUGGGAUUUUGUGAUCUCUUUCUAUUGAUAAACAUUACAGUUAAAACCUUUUUCGGUUAAAGUUGCAAUGAAGGUGUAUUGUAACACGAAGCUUUAAACUAACAAACAUUAAUAGCAAUAACUAAUAAAAUGAAAAAAUUUAUCACUAACCAUCCUACGCAGAAAACCUUGUAGACACUAGCGGAUCUUGAGUUAAUUUGUUAGGGGUGUCAAACUUCUAUGGAAUGUAUAUUAAACGGUUUCACGAGUCAUUGUCUAGGCUGCCGAUUGCGUCUUGCCUAUUUUACGAGUGGUGUUGGAACCCAAGAGAAUGCUUGAAUAGGAGGUGUUAGGCAUGGGGAGCUUGUUUGCCUGCUGCUGCUGCGGUUUCAUGUGUGUUUUCGCUCAGUUUUGGUAGUUGUUAGGCCGUUGAAAGUUUGCUGUUUGCUUAGGCUUGCUGUUAGUUUCUUUUCAGCUGUUAUAAGGUGUUGGUUUGUGCUCCCUGGCAGCAGUUUUGGCGCCCAUGUUUUGUGUGGUGUGGCCGGUUUUAGCCAGCUCCUAUUUGUAUUCCUCUUUGCCUUUUGCACUUCUUGUGCAGGGCCCUUAUUGAAUUAUGCAGUUUCAAAAAAAAAAAAAAAAAAAAAGGGUUUCACGAAGUAACAAUAACUAAUAACCGGUCUAGUUAUAUAAAUUGUUUGAAAGCAUCAAGAAAUUGUGGGUUCGUUUUCAUCAAAAACGUUUUUUAAUACAAUUUGUAAGUCGCGGGUUCAACACUUCAAGUAAUUUAUAGUACCCCUUUCCAGUGCAACAACCGAAUUCUGAUUGAUAUAACACACCUAAUAUAAUAUAGACUAAAGUGCAAUUUUCCGCUCUUAAGUUUCAAAAUGUUGCAAUUUUGACCCCUAUUAAACAAAAUGAUAAAUUUAGUCCCUUAUGUUUUAGCCCCUUUGUAAUAGUAGUCAUUUUUUCCAAUUUUGACUUGGCCAACGCUUACAUGGCAUGCCACAUGUGUAAUAAAAAAGAGAAAAUAAAAAAUAUAGAAAAGAAAAAAGAGAAAAACGUGAUUCAUCUUCUUCUUUCCAUGAUUCUUUCAAACCUUUUUUCUCUCAACAGUUCACAUUCCUCAAUCUCCUUCUCCUUCAUCUUCUUAACCCAGUAACUUCAUCAAACCCAACAACCAUCUCCCUUUUUUUUUUUAAACAAAACAUUAACUUCCCAAAAUUCUGCAAAUAAUUAAGAUCUAAACCACAAAACAUUCAAAUCACCAACAAAAUGAAAUUCUAGUAACAAUACAAUCAAAAGUAAUAAUAUGAUUAAACUAAUCAACAUUUAGCAUAAUGUCUUCAGAAGCAAACUUGCAUAAUGAAUCACCCAUUUCCUGCGAUAAACUUGCACAACCUUCCCUUCACGUCCCUUGAAGGUUCCUCUCACAACCUGAACUUCAUCCUCCUUACGAACGGGAAGAGAACGCACGAUGUACUUUGAACGAAGGUCACCAGAGAGAGGUGCGCUAAUCAACACACGACGGACGUUUGAUGGGGCGGUGAAAUGAACCUUGCGGCUCUUGUGACAGCUGCUUGAAAGAAGAAGAAACGUGGAUGAAUGAAUUGCAGAUCUGAAUUUUUUUCGUAUUACUCUUCUAUGAAAUCGUGAGGAAGAAUAAUGGAAGCAAAGAAGAAGGAAAACAGGGUGUUGUUGUGCUGCAAUUAGGGUUGGAAUUGAAAUUGAAGAAGGAAAUAAAUUGAAGGAUAAUGGAACGAAGUGCUGCAAUUGUUGUUGUUCUACUCACGUUUUUUUUUUCUUCUUUUUUAUUUUCCUUUUCUAUUUUUGUUUCAAUUUUUGUGAUAUUUUUAAUUUUUCAAUUUCUUUUUUAAUUUAUUUAAUUUAGAAAAUGAUUAAGUCAUUUUUUUAUUUUUUUUAAUUCAAUAAUUACACACGUGGCGCCACGUAGGCAUUGACCUGUCAAAAUUGACCAAAAGGAUUAAAGUUGCAAUGGGGCUAAAUUUUAGGGGGCCAAAAUUGUAGUUUCUGUAUUUAGAGGACCAAAAUUGCAAGUUUUUGAAAGUUAAGGGUGGAAAAGUACACUUUAGCCUAUAAUAUAUAAGGAAAACCUGGGGGAUGUCAUGGCCCUUGUCGGUCCCUGAAGAGAUCUGCCACUACCUGUAGAGCUUAGUAAUCCAGGC
RNAcentral lists this long non-coding RNA (34047 nucleotides) under Medicago truncatula (barrel medic). Its description in RNAcentral is "long non-coding RNA (MTRU_LNC002581)". The record is from RNAcentral. Lineage: Eukaryota; Viridiplantae; Streptophyta; Magnoliopsida; Fabales; Fabaceae.